Molecule: long non-coding RNA, 246 nt
Organism: Sphaerodactylus townsendi
Lineage: Eukaryota; Metazoa; Chordata; Lepidosauria; Squamata; Sphaerodactylidae
Exons: 3
Source: RefSeq, a predicted model, not a curated record
CAUGCUUUGGAUGAGAUGUCAGCCCAUUUCAGAAGAAAAUAUUAAGGCUGCAUUCUUCAGAUUUGUGCUUGAGCAAGUCAAAACAUACCUCAGUAACAUUCCAGUUCCAAAGGCACCAAGUUCAUUUGGAAUACAUCUUAAAAUGCAUACCUUGGCUGACAGAAAAUUCUAAUCAUUCCUUUGUUUAAUUGAUACAUUUGUGUUCAUGUGUUGUAAGUAGACCGCUGAAUAAGAUCUGAGGGCUGA